This 106-nucleotide small nucleolar RNA is filed under the name Gossypium arboreum. RNAcentral's name for it is "Plant small nucleolar RNA R71". It matches the Rfam family "Plant small nucleolar RNA R71". From Rfam's summary of the family: R71 is a member of the C/D box family of snoRNAs containing the C (UGAUGA) and D (CUGA) box motifs. Multiple nearly identical copies of this snoRNA have been identified in Arabidopsis, and it is thought to function as a 2'-O-ribose methylation guide for 18S ribosomal RNA. The record is from Rfam by way of RNAcentral. Lineage: Eukaryota; Viridiplantae; Streptophyta; Magnoliopsida; Malvales; Malvaceae.
AUCCCAUGAUGAGGAUGCUUACAAAGCAAUUCCUUUAAUCUUUCCCAUGCCUUAUAGAAAGACUCGCCAUCCAAUUGUUGAAAAGUAGUUAACUCAUUUUGCACUU